This is a non-coding RNA of Rattus rattus (black rat), 381 nucleotides long. NCBI's taxonomy places the organism in Eukaryota, Metazoa, Chordata, Mammalia, Rodentia, Muridae. The record is from the annotation of a RefSeq genome assembly.
AUGAAGUUUCCUGCUCAGAUUCUUGGGCUGAUAGUGCUCUGUAUUCCUGGGACUACUGGGGAUAUUGUGUUGACUCAAGCUCCACUCUCUGUAGCUGUCACUCCUAGAGAGUCAGCUUCCAUCUCCUGCAGAUCUAGUAAGAGUCUGCUACAUAGUAAUGGCAACACUUACGUGUAUUGGUACCUUCAGAAGCCAGGAAAGUCUCCUCAGCUCCUGAUAUAUCGGAUGUCCAACCUUGCCUCAGGAGUUCCAGACAGGUUUAGUGGCAGUGGGUCAGAAACAGAUUUUACACUGAAAAUCAGUAAGGUGGAGACUGAGGAUGUUGGCGUUUAUUACUGUGGACAGCUUCUAGAACGUCCUCCCACAGUGUUACAGCCUUGA